RNAcentral lists this ribosomal RNA (83 nucleotides) under Nocardioidaceae bacterium. Its description in RNAcentral is "partial 23S ribosomal RNA". Lineage: Bacteria; Bacillati; Actinomycetota; Actinomycetes; Propionibacteriales; Nocardioidaceae. The record is from RNAcentral.
AUGACUGGGUUGAUAGGCCGGAGGUAGAAGGCAGAGAUGCACGGAGCCGACCGGUACUAAUAGGCCGAGGGCUUGUCUCACAA